Glycine soja is the source of this 1279-nucleotide long non-coding RNA. RefSeq lists it as uncharacterized. The transcript has 6 exons. The record is from RefSeq and is a predicted model, not a curated record. Lineage: Eukaryota; Viridiplantae; Streptophyta; Magnoliopsida; Fabales; Fabaceae.
CUUGAAAACAACCUUUCAAAUACGGUUUUUAAGAAUCAUCCUUGUCUUUAGAUAUUUUCUCUCCUCUGAAAAUGCAAAUCGCACCUCAGCGGACACGUGACACCUUCUCAUAAGCUCAGUGCUUAUAUUCCUCUUUCAUCUUUCCAACUUCAAACUUUUAAUUCUAACCCGAUUCCAAACCUUUCCCUCAGCAACGGAAUCCACCAAACUCUCGCAUCAAUCUUCGUUUCUUUAGAGAGAGAGAGAGAGAAAGAGCACGCGGUGUCGGAAUCGUGUUCUCGGAUUGCACCGCUGGUUCGAUUUAUGGUCAUCGGAGAAUCGCCGAUCUCGCUGAGAGUUUCGAAUCGUACCGGUGACCGGAGGAGAUGGUGAAUUCCAUGGUGGAACGCGCCACGGGCGACAUGCUCAUAGGGCCUGAUUGGGCCAUGAACAUCAAGAUCUGCGACAUGCUCAAUCAUGACCCUGGUCCGUCUCAAAGACUCAAAGGAGUCGAACAAAUCGUCGCUCGGAGAGGAAAAUUAUGUGUCAUUUCGCCUUCUUCUGGGAUCUUCGUCGUCGAUGUGGCCGCAGUGCUGCCGCGGAUUUUUCCGAUUUGGCUGCCGGAAGAGUUCGAGCCGAUGGCCGUUCACAUCUUAAACAUCUUUGCUCUAUUUUGAAUAGCAUUUAGAUGAGGAGAUAUGAAAAUAAAUCUUCACAGGAUUUAAGAAAUUGCAUGGAGUUUCAAAGAAUCCAACAGAGACAAUUGCCAAUAAUUUGACAGAGUACAUGAAUAAGAAGGGUUUGCCAAAGGGAUUAGUUAUUGGGAGCUCCAGCAUUCUUGAGAUUGCUGGUCAAGGAGCACUUGUGCCAUUGUACCAGAGAUUACAAUCCAGCGUUAUUGCCAAGGACUCUGAAUCUUCAAAUUCCAAUAAAAUUAUUUGGGUCAUACGCCAGGAGAAGACAAAGCAGAAUUUUGAAAUGGCACUGGAAAGCAUAAGACAGUGUUUGCAGGUUGCUUUUGCAGGGGUGCAGGCCUAAAGGGGAGUUGCAACUGCCAUUGGCGAUUUGAGUGCAAGUUGCAACUCCCACUGGCGAUUUAGGGCAGAGAAAAUAGCCACUUCUAAUGGCGAUUUAAGGGCUAUAAAUACACGAAAUACUUCUCAACGUUGUUGCCUGUGUACUCAAAUUUCAGUUUCUCAACGCUGUUGCCUGUUUACUCAAACUUCAGUUUUUAAAAAUUGUACACGAUGAAUUCGGUUAUAACAGUGUUGUAUUUCAAUGGAAGGGUAUAUGAAGAUAA